UACGAAGGGGGCUAGCGUUGCUCGGAAUGACUGGGCGUAAAGGGCGCGUAGGCGGUUUGUACAGUCAGGUGUGAAAUUCCCGGGCUCAACCUGGGGGCUGCACUUGAUACGUAGGAACUUGAGUGGGGAAGAGGGUCGUGGAAUUCCCAGUGUAGAGGUGAAAUUCGUAGAUAUUGGGAAGAACACCGGUGGCGAAGGCGGCGACCUGGUCCUUGACUGACGCUGAGGCGCGAAAGCGUGGGGAG
Molecule: ribosomal RNA, 245 nt
Filed under: uncultured bacterium
Lineage: Bacteria
Description: partial 16S ribosomal RNA
Rfam family: Bacterial small subunit ribosomal RNA
Source: RNAcentral